CGCACAUUGCGCCCCUUGGUAGCCCGGGGGGCAUGCCUGUUCGAGCGUCAUUUCAGACCAUCAAGCACCGCUUGGUAUUGGGCCCCUCUACCCCCUGUUUCAGGGGGUAGGCCCUAAAUCGAUCGGCGGCACGAGUCGAGCCCCAAGCGUAGUAGAUUUUAUUUUCCCGCUUCAGGAGGCCUCGGCGAGAGCUCGCCCCGAACCCCAUUGAAAUUUAUCUCCAAGAUUGACCUCGGAUCAGGCAAGGGUACCCGCUGAACUUAA
RNAcentral lists this unclassified non-coding RNA (264 nucleotides) under Helotiales sp. RNAcentral's name for it is "partial contains 5.8S ribosomal RNA, internal transcribed spacer 2, and large subunit ribosomal RNA". Lineage: Eukaryota; Fungi; Ascomycota; Leotiomycetes; Helotiales. The record is from RNAcentral.